RNAcentral lists this long non-coding RNA (1490 nucleotides) under Mus musculus (house mouse). RNAcentral describes it as "predicted gene, 38575". The record is from RNAcentral. Lineage: Eukaryota; Metazoa; Chordata; Mammalia; Rodentia; Muridae.
UGUGGGUGCCCUGUGUGUCCUCUGAGGGAGGCUCCUCGGUGGCCCUGCCAGUGGCUCCAGCUGUGGAGGGCUUGCUCUUCCCUACAUUCAGGGUCAGACGUUUUGAACGCAUCAACUCUCUUAAUCAGCAUGACACCGUUUUGAGGCAGGAAUAAGCACCAUCCUUCUUUCCAGUCUAAUUAACACAAUAACUCACUUGGUUGCUCAAGACCAUAUCUGAAUAGCAGCUACCCUCGAGAUGGUAAGAUGACAGAUGUCUGGCUUUCUUGCAAUGUGGAGUAAGCAACUUUGAUCAGAAGGAGGCAUCAGGCAUGCCACAGAAGGGAAAGUACUCAGGAAGACUAAACACAGCCUCUACGACCAUAAGACGAUGGGUGCAAUAUACAAGGACCUUGUGAAGAAGCAAGGUAGGAUACAGGAGUGAAAACAGGACACUCUACAGUGUUUGUAGCCUAAUGGCCAGAAGGCAAUGUAGCCUAGAGCAUCUUUCCUCUUGGCCAAGUGGAUCUGCUGCAUGUGCACGUGUUAGAGUGACAUAUGUAGUACCUGAUGUCAUCACAUGGCCCUCGUGAGACCAUACAGCACCAUCUGGGAUCUAGGCCAGCUGUGAAUGACUCGAGGCACAGCUAACAGUUCUGGUUCUUUAGGGCUACUCCUGAAGUAACACUGAUAUUUCUAAGACUUGGAAGAACAGGAGGGGACCUGGGUCCCUGAUCCUCUCCUAGCCCAAGAUAUCUGUCACAUGAGAGCAGAAUUACAGCCUGAUGUCUUCUGCACAGCUACAUACAGAGGCUGGAAGCAGCUGGUGUGACCAUAUAAGACUGUAAAGGAGGACACGACUAGAAGAGCAGAGGAAAAAGAAAAUCAGAGGAAAACAGUCCGUUUUAAAACAAGCCGUUCUGUCCCCACACGUGGCUGCCAUCAUUUCCUCCUCCAUAAGCUCCUAACAUCGUACCCAAAAGCUGGGAGGCACGCAACCUGAAGCAAGGAGAUAGGCAGUCUGGAUUCUCCAUUUCAGUCUCAGCAUCCUCAUUUAACACGACGAAAUAGCUAAUACAUUCUGUGAUUCGGGAAUCAGAGGCUGCAAGCUAAGGUCUUACAUAACAGGUGUGGCCUCACUUCCCUACCCCACAGUUCUAAAAGAAAUGUUAUUGUGGGUACCGAUCUGCGCGAAUAACGCUGCAGAGAUGGACAGUCAGGGCAGGGAACCUGAGACUCUCCAAGGAGGCGAGCAAAGCCUUUGCCUUCAAAAAGAGACAGGAGAGGAGUGCAGUUUUGCUUUCAAGCCCCAAGGUGUUGGCCUUUGCCGUAAGGUAAUCUCUUUCUUAGAGCGCCACCUACUGGUGCAGGGUUUUGCAGCAACGCCUAGCCUCGGCUUGUACAAGCACCUGUUCUCGACCAACCUCAGUGUGUUUUAGAAAAGAGUCUUACAUGAUACUUCAAAACAAGAUCUCUCUCAUGAAUGAGGUUUCUAUUGUAGCUUUACCAUU